UUUCAACUGCCUCUACAAUGCCUCUUUGCCUGUCAGACAGUAUUGUAAGUCUAGGCAUGUUAUCAGUAUUUACUCCAAGGAGCUUACGUAAUUCUGACAUGAACCACAUCCAAUUUUCAUCACUUUCUGUAUCAACAAUAGCAAUGGCCAGAGGAAAUAAUGCAUCAUCAGCAUCAACAGCUGCAGCACAAAGUAAUGUACCCAAAUAUUUUCCUUUAAGAUGUGCUCUGUCAAGUUCCAGAAGUGGCCUACAAGCAUUUAUAAACCCAUAAAUACAUGCACGAUAAGAAAUAAAGAGGCGCUGGAAACAAUUUUCCUGUCCAGUAGCAAAAACCGAAGCAAUGCUCCCUGGGUUUGUUUUCCUUAUCUGCUCACAAUACACAGGCAGAAGGCGGUACCCUUCUUCAAAAGUACCAUGAAGUGCAGCCAUGCUGCGCUCCUUUCCACGCCAAGCUUGCAUAUAAGACACAGCAACCCCAUGUUGGUCACGGAUAUCUUGUAGGAUUUCCUUUGG
This 514-nucleotide unclassified non-coding RNA is filed under the name Hevea brasiliensis (rubber tree). The record is from RNAcentral. Lineage: Eukaryota; Viridiplantae; Streptophyta; Magnoliopsida; Malpighiales; Euphorbiaceae.